This is a long non-coding RNA of Oreochromis aureus, 1329 nucleotides long. The record is from Ensembl. Lineage: Eukaryota; Metazoa; Chordata; Actinopteri; Cichliformes; Cichlidae.
CACUCUUGCUUCCCACGUAGUUCGACAGGAAAAACAUUCCUGAAAAACUAAGGCUUAAAGCUUAAGAACACACACACAGCUGCUACAGGCAGCUCAGGCUUGUUUGCUGAGCUAAGUUAGCUCCUACUGUCUCAGCUGCAACAUGUUACAUUUCAAAGCACAAAAUAAACAAACAAACCAAUAAACACAAAUCCCAACAAAUCAUGAAAUUGUAUCUUGAUGGAAACAAUGUCCGACACCAUCCAACCUCCACUUAUUACAACAGAAAUAAACACAAUAGGAUUUUAAUACAAAGAUGAACCAUAUUAUCAGUCUUCCAGUGCUGACAUUAAACCAAGAGCAUGUCAUUUUUUAAUAUAACUGCUGUUGAUCUGGAUGCUGGCAGUUCUCUAAAUGUUGUCAAAAUGUUCUGAGUUGGAUUUUGUUGCUGACGUUGUUCGUGAGUCUUGAGUUUUGUUGAAAUAAUCUUUUUAUGGACCUGAAACAAAAUCAGAACAAAUACGACUUCAAAAGUGAAAAACAAAGAAAUAAUGGUGCCAAAGAUGUGAUGAUGCUUUCUGACCUUUUACACUUUCACUCUUUAAUCACACAGAACUGAUCUCAUCAGGGAAACUUACACUUUCUCACAUUUUAGCUGCAUGUGUUUGAAAUCUAAAAGGCUCAUUAUUUUAUUCAGACACCACAACAGCAACAGAACGUAACAAAAGUAAAUCAUAUAAAAAGUGAUUCAGCUCAUCAGCUCCACAAAACUCUGAAAGUUUAACAAGGAUGUAACACAUUUUACUGCACAUGCAUGCAUGUCACUGUGAUGAAUAAAGCGAAGUUUAAUAAAUGAAAUGUAUCUUUUCUGUUGAUGAUGAUUAAAAAUAAUUACUCUCAACCUAAUGUGGCAAAACAGAAGAUAUCAAAGUGAUUUCCUUUUUCAUACACCUGCUUCAAUAUGUGUAUUGUAUUCAUGGUGUGAUUUUAAGGUGUAAUAAUGUGUUUUAAGACUCUUGCUGCACUGUUUUCUUUUAGGUCUCAUGGCAGAGGACCCAACAGCGACAUAUUAUCGACUGAAAAACAGCUCAGUGUGUCUGAAUGUCAGGAAACCGCCACCAUAUAAACGUGACACUGGCAUAUAUGAAGUCUCAUACCGCCAAAACUUUAUUACAAUGUCAGAGAAACAUCAAGUCAUUGUUCAAGAUGUGGUUCCCACACCUGUCAUUAUAAUGUCAAAGCUUGGCUCCAACCAGUCUGCUGGACUCUGCAGUAUCACAGUAAACUGCUCCAUCCAGGAUUAUUGGCUUUGGUCUGUUUGUGAUGAAGACGGCUGCAGAACAUCCCAGU